RNAcentral lists this ribosomal RNA (448 nucleotides) under uncultured bacterium. Its description in RNAcentral is "bacterial SSU rRNA". It matches the Rfam family "Bacterial small subunit ribosomal RNA", at positions 331 to 794 of the family's 1533-position model. The record is from RNAcentral.
CCAGACUCCUACGGGAGGCAGCAGUGGGGAAUAUUGCACAAUGGGGGAAACCCUGAUGCAGCAACGCCGCGUGAGUGAGGAAGUAUUUCGGUAUGUAAAGCUCUAUCAGCAGGGAAUAGAAAAGAAGGUACCUGAAAAAGAAGCCCCGGCUAACUACGUGCCAGCAGCCGCGGUAAUACGUAGGGGGCAAGCGUUAUCCGGAUUUACUGGGUGUAAAGGGAGCGUAGACGGAAAGGCAAGUCAGAAGUGAAAGCCCAAGGCUCAACCAUGGGACUGCUUUUGAGACUGUCAAACUAGAGUACGGGAGAGGUAAGAGGAAUUCCUAGUGUAGCGGUGAAAUGCGUAGAUAUUAGGAGGAACACCAGUGGCGAAGGCGGCUUACUGGACAGUGACUGACGUUGAGGCUCGAAAGCGUGGGGAGCGAACAGGAUUAGAUACCCCUGUACGA